This is a small nuclear RNA of Suncus etruscus (white-toothed pygmy shrew), 107 nucleotides long. NCBI's taxonomy places the organism in Eukaryota, Metazoa, Chordata, Mammalia, Eulipotyphla, Soricidae. The record is from RefSeq and is a predicted model, not a curated record.
GUGCUCGCUUUGGCAGCACAUAUACUAAAAUUGGAAUGAUACAGAGACGAUUAGCGUGGCCCCUGAGCAAGAAUGACAUGCAAAUUCGUGAAGCGUUCCAUAUUAAA